GCAAGUUUUUAAGGGCGCACGGUGGAUGCCUUGGCAUCAGGAGCCGAUGAAGGACGCGGUAAUCUGCGAUAAGCCUCGGGGAGCUGAUAAACGAGCUGUGAUCCGAGGGUCUCCGAAUGGGGAAACCCCACUACGUGUUAUGCGUGGUGACCCGCACCUGAAUUCAUAGGGUGUGUGGAGGGAACGUGGGGAAGUGAAACAUCUCAGUACCCACAGGAAGAGAAAACAACAGUGAUUCCGUCAGUAGUGGCGAGCGAACGCGGAAGAGGCCAAACCGAUGGUGUGUGAUACCCGGCAGGGGUUGCAUCAUCGGGGUCGUGGGGCGUGUCGUCCCGGGUCUGCCGGCCCGGGCGUGUGAGUGCAGGGCGAUAGUCGAACCGGUGUGAGUGCCGGACCGGAGAGGGUGAGAGUCCCGUAGACGAAAUCGUUGCUGCCGCACGGUACGCGUACCCAAGUAGCACGGGGCCCGAGAAAUCCCGUGUGAAUCUGCCAGGACCACCUGGUAAGCCUAAAUACUACCUGAUGACCGAUAGCGGACUAGUACCGUGAGGGAAAGGUGAAAAGCACCCCGACGAGGGGAGUGAAACAGAUCCUGAAACCGGACGCCUACAAGCAGUCGGAGCCGCCUUGCGCGGUGACGGCGUACCUUUUGUAUAAUGGGUCAGCGACUUUGUCUCUCGAGCAAGCUUAAGCCGGUAGGUGUAGGCGCAGCGAAAGCGAGUCUGAAUAGGGCGACGAGUUCGAGGGAUAAGACCCGAAACCGAGUGAUCUAGCCAUGUGCAGGUUGAAGGUGCGGUAACACGCACUGGAGGACCGAACCCACGUCUGUUGAAAAAGACGGGGAUGACGUGUGGCUAGGGGUGAAAGGCCAAUCAAACUUCGUGAUAGCUGGUUCUCCCCGAAAUGCAUUUAGGUGCAGCGUUACGUGUUUCUUGCCGGAGGUAGAGCUACUGGAUGGCCGAUGGGCCCUACAAGGUUACUGACGUCAGCCAAACUCCGAAUGCCGGUAAGUGAGAGCGUAGCAGUGAGACUGUGGGGGAUAAGCUUCAUAGUCGAGAGGGAAACAGCCCAGACCACCAACUAAGGCCCCUAAGCGUGUGCUAAGUGGGAAAGGAUGUGGAGUUGCUUAGACAACCAGGAGGUUGGCUUAGAAGCAGCCACCCUUGAAAGAGUGCGUAAUAGCUCACUGGUCAAGUGAUUCCGCGCCGACAAUGUAGCGGGGCUCAAGUACACCGCCGAAGUUGUGGCAUUGCACCAAUGAUACCCAACCGGUCUUCGGACCGGUUCAGGUGGUGCGAUGGGUAGGGGAGCGUCGUGUGGGCAGUGAAGCUGCGGGGUGACCCAGUGGUGGAGCCCACACGAGUGAGAAUGCAGGCAUGAGUAGCGAAUGACGGGUGAGAAACCCGUCCGCCGGAUGAUCAAGGGUUCCAGGGUCAAGCUAAUCUGCCCUGGGUCAGUCGGGACCUAAGGCGAGGCCGACAGGCGUAGUCGAUGGACAACGGGUUGAUAUUCCCGUACCGGCGAAGAACCGCCCCUAUCGAACCGGGGACACUAACCACCCGAACCGGGCCAUGCGGUGACCAUUGGUCGCCGCCGGCACCGGGGAGCGUGGGACCUGAACCGGGGAGGUAAGCGUAUUAACAGGUGUGACGCAGGAAGGUAGCCGAGCCGGGCGAUGGUAGACCCGGUCUAAGCGUGUAGGGCGAUCCGUUGGCAAAUCCGCGGAUCAUUGAGCCUGAGACGUGACGGGACCCCCAUUCGUGGGGGGAUUCGGUGAUCCUAUGCUGCCGAGAAAAGCAUCGACGCGAGGUUCCAGCCGCCCGUACCCCAAACCGACACAGGUGAUCAGGUAGAGAAUACUAAGGCGAUCGAGAGAAUCAUGGUUAAGGAACUCGGCAAAAUGCCCCCGUAACUUCGGGAGAAGGGGGGCCCCGACCGUGGACACCACUUGCUGGUGCGAGCGGGUAAGGGCCGCAGAGACCAGGGGGAAGCGACUGUUUAUCAAAAACACAGGUCCGUGCGAAGUCGCAAGACGAUGUAUACGGACUGACUCCUGCCCGGUGCUGGAAGGUUAAGAGGACCUGUUAGCCUCACGGCGAAGCGGAGAAUUUAAGCCCCAGUAAACGGCGGUGGUAACUAUAACCAUCCUAAGGUAGCGAAAUUCCUUGUCGGGUAAGUUCCG
Molecule: ribosomal RNA, 2182 nt
Filed under: Chattonella subsalsa
Lineage: Eukaryota; Raphidophyceae; Chattonellales; Chattonellaceae
Description: partial Bacterial large subunit ribosomal RNA
Rfam family: Bacterial large subunit ribosomal RNA
Source: RNAcentral